CCUGCACUGGCCUUGCCUAGAAGGAGCAAGUGUGACCUCACAGGAGUGGGUGAGCUUUGGAACCUUCAAAUCAGGGCUCCACUGGGCCCAUCCUCCCAUGAUUUAAGCCCCGAUCUCCUCAUCUGUGAAUUGGGACUCUUAAAUGUAAAUGAUCUCAUUGGGUGGUUGGGAGGAUUGGAUGGGACCAUAAACACUGCUGAGCAUGUUGUCCAAGAGGCAGCCUUCCAGAAAAGGUUCACAUUUUACAGGUUGGCAAACUGAGCCCAGGAAGGCUGAACUCUUUACAUGAAGGCACUCAUCAAGUGGAGGCUCUGCUGUGCAGGGCCAGGAAACAGUGCUCCAAUUGGGUCCCUGGGGCAUUAAGAAAUAUACAGCAUUUAUGUUUUUCCAUGACAAUCUGAACUCCUUGUGGAACUGAGUUUUGCUUUGCUGCUGCCAUAAGUGCUGGAGCCCCA
This 455-nucleotide long non-coding RNA is filed under the name Fukomys damarensis (Damara mole-rat). RNAcentral describes it as "lncRNA (ENSFDAG00000033206.1)". Lineage: Eukaryota; Metazoa; Chordata; Mammalia; Rodentia; Bathyergidae. The record is from RNAcentral.